GAUGGUAUAGCUUAGUGGUAGAGUUCAUGCCUAGCAUGCAUGAGGUCCUGGGUCCAAUCCCCAGUACCUCUA
Molecule: transfer RNA, 72 nt
Organism: Camelus ferus (Wild Bactrian camel)
Lineage: Eukaryota; Metazoa; Chordata; Mammalia; Artiodactyla; Camelidae
Rfam family: tRNA
About the family: Transfer RNA (tRNA) molecules are approximately 80 nucleotides in length. Their secondary structure includes four short double-helical elements and three loops (D, anti-codon, and T loops).
Source: Rfam